UACGGGGGGAGCAAGCGUUGUUCGGAUUUACUGGGCGUAAAGGGCGCGUAGGCGGCCUCUGCAAGUCGACUGUGAAAUCUCCGGGCUUAACCCGGAAAGGUCAGCCGAUACUGCAGGGCUGGAGUGCAGAAGGGGCAACUGGAAUUCUCGGUGUAGCGGUGAAAUGCGCAGAUAUCAGGAGGAACACCGGUGGCGAAGGCGGGUCUCUGGGACGGUACUGACGCUGAGACGCGAAAGCGUGGGGAGCGAACAGG
This 254-nucleotide ribosomal RNA is filed under the name uncultured bacterium. Its description in RNAcentral is "partial 16S ribosomal RNA". It matches the Rfam family "Bacterial small subunit ribosomal RNA", at positions 524 to 776 of the family's 1533-position model. The record is from RNAcentral.